UAGCUCAGUUGGUAGAGCAUGGCGCUUGUAAUGCCAGAGUAGUGGGUUCAAUUCCCAG
RNAcentral lists this transfer RNA (58 nucleotides) under Salmo salar (Atlantic salmon). It matches the Rfam family "tRNA", at positions 8 to 63 of the family's 71-position model. From Rfam's summary of the family: Transfer RNA (tRNA) molecules are approximately 80 nucleotides in length. Their secondary structure includes four short double-helical elements and three loops (D, anti-codon, and T loops). Further hydrogen bonds mediate the characteristic L-shaped molecular structure. tRNAs have two regions of fundamental functional importance: the anti-codon, which is responsible for specific mRNA codon recognition, and the 3' end, to which the tRNAs corresponding amino acid is attached (by aminoacyl-tRNA synthetases). tRNAs cope with the degeneracy of the genetic code in two manners: having more than one tRNA (with a specific anti-codon) for a particular amino acid; and 'wobble' base-pairing, i.e. permitting non-standard base-pairing at the 3rd anti-codon position. The record is from Rfam by way of RNAcentral. Lineage: Eukaryota; Metazoa; Chordata; Actinopteri; Salmoniformes; Salmonidae.